RNAcentral lists this ribosomal RNA (419 nucleotides) under bacterium. Its description in RNAcentral is "partial 16S ribosomal RNA". It matches the Rfam family "Bacterial small subunit ribosomal RNA", at positions 355 to 776 of the family's 1533-position model. The record is from RNAcentral.
UGGGGGAUAUUGCACAAUGGGCGAAAGCCUGAUGCAGCGACGCCGCGUGGGGGAUGAAGGCCUUCGGGUUGUAAACUUCUUUUGCUCUGAACAAGGCGCACCAUGGGGUGUGUUGAGUGUAGGGGUUGAUUAGCGCCGGCUAACUACGUGCCAGCAGCCGCGGUAAUACGUAGGGCGCGAGCGUUGUCCGGAAUUAUUGGGCGUAAAGGGCUUGUAGGUGGCUGGUUGCGUCUGUCGUGAAAGCUCAUGGCUUAACUGUGGGUUUGCGGUGGGUACGGGCUGGCUUGAGUGCAGUAGGGGAUGCUGGAAUUCCUGGUGUAGCGGUGGAAUGCGCAGAUAUCAGGAGGAAUACCGGUGGCGAAGGCGGGUCUCUGGGCUGUUACUGACACUGAGGAGCGAAAGCAUGGGGAGCGAACAGG